CCCUUAUUAUCAAUUGUACUCAGAAGUACGAUCAGUAGAAAAGUGAAAAAUCUGCAGUUUAAUGGGCUGAAACAUGCACUGGUAUACACUGGCCAACAGAUUGAAUCAAAUCAAUUAAAUUACUAUUAAUAGAAGACACAAACCACAAUUUUGCAACCAAAAAAAAAAUCAGAAAUCUAUUUUAUGAAAUAUUUUAAGUAACUCUUAUUUUACCAUUAUGCUUUAGAAGUGGUCAAACUAAUAGAUUUCUUAGCUCGGGGUGGUGUCAGCCCAACAUGCGGCGCUAGAAGACUCGCUUUGAAUUUGUGGAACUAUACAUCAUGGUUGCUCAUGUGGCCAUCUUCGUUGUUGACGUCUGUUCAGCCCAAAGGGACUGAGCAUAAUCGGGUGCAGGACGUACGCACGACUCAAAGUGAUCAAACCUGCCAAGUAGAACUGGCCCGUUUCCAUCUGAUCCCAAACAAACUGUUGCUGGUGAAAGUAUUGUUCUCUAUCACAAAGUCCUUGUUGUGUUGCAGCAGGGGCAAAUUAUGACCCCGCUACCCGUGCUGGUGAAAUGAUUCUUGGGAAAAUUGGUGCAACAUCCCAUGGCGCCCCAUGAAUGGGAGAGGAGGAAACGCUGUGCAGCUCUCUCAGACACACAGACACACACACACUUAUGUACCUUAGCAUAGGUGUGUGUGUGUGUGUGCACACAAAAACCAGGCACAUGGAGACGGCACAGUCCUCUUCAGAAAACGACCAAAGUGACCAGAAAGCAAUCAGCUGCAACAUUCGAAGAGCAGCUCUCAGCCCCCUCUUGCACUACUUCUUCAUCUUGAGGUCGGCCUCCAUGGCACUUCGCCGCCCCCUAGUGCCUCCAUCCUGCAGCAGAGACACAAAGAAACGUGGCAGAAGAGAAAGAGAGCGCUUAACGUAAGGGUGUACAGGUCAAAGGUCAGGGAGGCCCUGUGGCAGGCCUCCUUGUGUCAUUGAGCUCCGCACAAAAACACAGCACAGUCCACCCUGGAAGGCAUCGUUCCCCAAAUGAUGAACAGAAAAAAUAAUCAUGAGCAAAAUAAAAAGAAAACAAGGAGAAAAGAAACUGGAACAUGCAGAGAUGCUAACGCACAUUAACGGAAAAACACAGGAAACUGGCAUUAACCGAAGGUCGACGGAAGCUUGGGUGAUGAAAGUUACCUGUGUGUGUGAACGUGUGAAUGCGGGAUGGGAAAAAUUGUGUGCAAACAGAAAUGUAAACGUUUAUGAGGGUGAUACAGACAGUAUUUUCAAAGAUAUAUGAGAGUGUCUGUUUGUGUGUGUGUGGUGAGAGAAACUGCAAGGAAGAGGAAGAAGAAGUCUUUCAUUUCUAUAUCAUCUGUAUGGCACAUCUGUAGAGCACAGGAUGGGCGUAGGCUCACGACCCAUCUCUUCUGCAUUUAAUCACUUCUACACUUCUGAGUAGUUGACACCACUUUAAUAACUCAGCGGUUUAGAGCAACAAUGUCUUUGAUUCUG
Molecule: long non-coding RNA, 1497 nt
Organism: Oreochromis aureus
Lineage: Eukaryota; Metazoa; Chordata; Actinopteri; Cichliformes; Cichlidae
Source: Ensembl